AGAGAAAGAGACAUGAGAUAAGGUGCAAUUGGCUAGAGUUGAUCCAUGUCCUCCAAACCAAGCUUCAAGAUAAAGUAAAGGAAAAAACAAUGUUUUUCCAUGAAAAAUUGUCUUCAUUUGUCAACCAUAAAUCAAACACACCUUAUAUAAAUGUGAAACAGAUGGAAAGUGCCUUAAGCUCAAUCUUUGAGGUACACUUUGCAGCACAUUGCUUUUUUCCUUUUCGUAAGGUAAGAUUCAACUCGACAACAAGAUAAAUACAGCUAGCCAUGUUUGUUUUUCAUCUUCAGCAUAUCUCUGAACAAACUGUUGAUAUAUAUAUAUAUAUAUAUAUAUAUAUAUAUAU
Molecule: long non-coding RNA, 346 nt
Filed under: Vigna radiata
Lineage: Eukaryota; Viridiplantae; Streptophyta; Magnoliopsida; Fabales; Fabaceae
Description: long non-coding RNA (VRAD_LNC005749)
Source: RNAcentral